This 423-nucleotide ribosomal RNA is filed under the name bacterium 14S224. Its description in RNAcentral is "bacterial SSU rRNA". It matches the Rfam family "Bacterial small subunit ribosomal RNA", at positions 1044 to 1467 of the family's 1533-position model. The record is from RNAcentral.
CAGGGGCGUCUUGUCACUCGUGUUGUGAAAUGUUGGGUUAAGUCCCGCAACGAGCGCAACCCUUAUCCUUUGUUGCCAGCGGUUCGGCCGGGAACUCAAAGGAGACUGCCAGUGAUAAACUGGAGGAAGGUGGGGAUGACGUCAAGUCAUCAUGGCCCUUACGAGUAGGGCUACACACGUGCUACAAUGGCAUAUACAAAGAGAAGCGACCUCGCGAGAGCAAGCGGACCUCAUAAAGUAUGUCGUAGUCCGGAUUGGAGUCUGCAACUCGACUCCAUGAAGUCGGAAUCGCUAGUAAUCGUAGAUCAGAAUGCUACGGUGAAUACGUUCCCGGGCCUUGUACACACCGCCCGUCACACCAUGGGAGUGGGUUGCAAAAGAAGUAGGUAGCUUAACCUUCGGGAGGGCGCUACCACUUUCCCA